Molecule: long non-coding RNA, 883 nt
Organism: Daphnia carinata
Lineage: Eukaryota; Metazoa; Arthropoda; Branchiopoda; Diplostraca; Daphniidae
Exons: 4
Source: RefSeq, a predicted model, not a curated record
GUGAAAAAGGUUUUUCCAAACUCAUCCCUAACUGAACAUGAGGAUGAAUUGGCAUUAGGUGAACACAGUCAGUUAUUCAGUCUACCACCUGACAGUGUGUUAAAGUUAAAUUCUGUUAGUGCUGCACUAAAAGAAUUGUUAGUAAUAAGUCCAUGCAGCGAAGGAAGUGAACAAUUGUGGGACCAUAUUUGGGCUGAAAAUGGGUGUGGUACGGAAACCCAGAAAUAGCACGAGUUCAACAUAAAACAUGAAUUAGAAUUUUAGUGGGGGAUCAAGUCAAGUCUGGAAGUGUUACAGGAUGGAAGAGUGAGCCUACAGUUGAAAAACACUGAAAGUGCAUUACCAUUAAGGUAUGAGGUAAAGUAAUAGAGUAUGCAAAUUGUCUAAUGAGAAGUACCAUCUUGUGUGAAUGAAUCCUGUGUAACAGCAAUCCUUUAUAGUUCUGUCACAGCUAGAAGCCUCAAAUAAUUCUGCUUCUCUUGCUAAAGAACAACUUGUCCUUUACGUUCAGAGUGUUGGUGAAGCUGGGUACUUAAAUGGCCCUAAAGAUGUUUCAUUUCGUUGGCAUUGCAGCGAUGAACAUCAUACAUGGACUUUUUAGGAAAGGAUUUUCAGCAUACUGGGAACACAACUAUCAACAAUGCAACAUUCUAGGGGUGCUAUUUUAUCAUUCAAGAGCCUUAUACAAUGAUUUUCAUCUGCAAUUUGUAUGGCCUUUCCCAAGCUUCUGCCAGAAGUUGAAUCUAUAAGUCAUGUAAGUCACAUGAGCAACAAUUGAGAUGCUUAAUGGUGUUUUUCUUUUCUCAGCAUAGGUUAAUAGUAACAUGGGAUCUGAAAAGAUUCUUGGUUGGGGCAAGACACUGAAUAAAUUGUAAUGAUUGAA